GAACUGAAGAGUUUGAUCCUGGCUCAGAUUGAACGCUGGCGGCAUGCCUUACACAUGCAAGUCGAACGGCAGCACGGGUGCUUGCACCUGGUGGCGAGUGGCGAACGGGUGAGUAAUACAUCGGAACAUGUCCUGUAGUGGGGGAUAGCCCGGCGAAAGCCGGAUUAAUACCGCAUACGAUCCACGGAUGAAAGCGGGGGACCUUCGGGCCUCGCGCUAUAGGGUUGGCCGAUGGCUGAUUAGCUAGUUGGUGGGGUAAAGGCCUACCAAGGCGACGAUCAGUAGCUGGUCUGAGAGGACGACCAGCCACACUGGGACUGAGACACGGCCCAGACUCCUACGGGAGGCAGCAGUGGGGAAUUUUGGACAAUGGGCGAAAGCCUGAUCCAGCAAUGCCGCGUGUGUGAAGAAGGCCUUCGGGUUGUAAAGCACUUUUGUCCGGAAAGAAAUC
Molecule: ribosomal RNA, 451 nt
Filed under: Burkholderia multivorans
Lineage: Bacteria; Pseudomonadati; Pseudomonadota; Betaproteobacteria; Burkholderiales; Burkholderiaceae
Description: bacterial SSU rRNA
Rfam family: Bacterial small subunit ribosomal RNA
Source: RNAcentral